GGGAGGACCAAGGGGUCCGUCCUCGGUCUUCUGCAGAAUCCUUCAUGGUUUGACGCGUCGCGGAUCUUCUCUAAAAACAGAAGUUCACUAUCUACGUCCACAAGUAAAGGUUUUGGACGUGGACACAAAUGGUACGCUGCGGUGUGUGCUCAUUAAUGCAACAGUUGAGGAGAGCUAGUGGGAGGGGGGUUAAAGAGGAGGUUCUGCAUCCACUACAUCAGGAGCAGAUUUCCAGGAGUCCACAGAGGAGCACCACAAACUAGGACUGAUAAGAUAUGGCAGCGAACUCUUCCUCCAACGACUCCCUUCAUCCUUCCAACCUCCCUUGCCUCUUCACACAACCAAGCUCCUUAAUCUUCAUUGCAUCCAGCACCACCGUCCUCCUCCUCUUGGUGCCCCUCUUCGUCCUGGUGCUCUACCUGGGUUUCCAACGAUGGCGGCGGCAGCGCUCCGCCUGCUCAUCAGCGGCGACGAGUCACUCGGACAGCUUCGCCUACCACAUGGUCUCCAUCGAGCUGCUUGGGGUUCUGGGGUUCAUCCUCAGCAACUCUAGUAUCCACGUCCCUACAUAUUCUGUGGGGCUGUUUCUUCUGUCGGUGACCUGGUUCGGACAAACGUCCUUUCACAUCCUGACCUGCGUGGAGCGCUACCUGGCCGUGGUCCAUCCCGUCACCUACCUGAGCCUGAGGAGAGAGCGGGGCAUCAGAAUCAGAAACAUCUCCAUCGGAGGGGUUUGGCUGGUCUGUUUCGGUGAGGCGACUAUGGACGUUUUGGGAUAUUUAUCUUUAAAUUUUAAUUUUUGCAUUCUGAUCUUCGCCAUGGCCGUAGUGUCUUUCUGCAGCCUGUCUGUUCUCUGCGUUCUGAUUCGUCCACGGCCGGGGGAACAGGGUGGGGACAGGGUGGACCAAUCCAAGCGGAGGGCCGUCUGCACCAUCGUGGCCAUCCUGGGAGUGCUGCUGUUGAGGUGUGCGACCGGGCUUGCUUGGGUUAUUCUCUAUAAGUUGGGGAAAGAGGAUCCGUGUGAGUUUAUACCAGCAGAAACUUGGACGAAUGUCCUGACUAGUCUGGUUUUACCUCUUUUGUAUCUACACCGAGCGGGAAGAUUACCGGGUUGUAAGAACACCAAUUAAUGCGGUAUGGAAUUUGCAGAAUUGACUUCCAAAGUGAAACAAUUACGUAUAAAGUCGAAUUUUAAAUUCAACUUGGCUUUCUAGCAACCCAGCUCUGAAGCAUUGAAAGUCACCUUGAAAAGAUACAUACAUUGACAUUGCAUUGAUAUUGCAUUCAUUGUUUCCCUACAAACAAAGUUGGGAGACAGAUCGGCUGAUGGAGGAUAAACAUCUGUUAUAAUUAGAGAUUAAAAAAAAAAAUGUAAACACCCUCCGUUAAAAAACAUCUGAUGUAUUUUUGUAGAUUUUCGUUUGAUGUAUAAGUGUUUUUUACUUCAAUUAAUUUA
Gasterosteus aculeatus aculeatus (three-spined stickleback) is the source of this 1456-nucleotide long non-coding RNA. The record is from Ensembl. Lineage: Eukaryota; Metazoa; Chordata; Actinopteri; Perciformes; Gasterosteidae.